Molecule: long non-coding RNA, 325 nt
Filed under: Elaeis guineensis (African oil palm)
Lineage: Eukaryota; Viridiplantae; Streptophyta; Magnoliopsida; Arecales; Arecaceae
Description: long non-coding RNA (EGUI_LNC075801)
Source: RNAcentral
CCUUACCAGGGUUCUUGGUAAGUUACCCCGCACCAAACGCAUGCAAGCUGGUCCUUCUCCAUCUCCUGCCGUUCGUUCGAUGACUCCUAAAGGUCCAAUAUCUUUUCGAUCGCGUUAAAAGUACGAAAAUUCUGUCUCCGCGAGGUGUUUUAACGGAGUCUGGUACCUCCGGCCAAGCGUGCAAGACCUGCAGGUCAUAAAGGAAAACAGAUCAAAACAAAUUCACCCACACAAUCUUGAAAUGACACGUGGAUACAAUUCACGUGUCCCUGUACGUCGGUUGGUGGGUGUUUCUCUCGGUGAAGUUGGUCAUCGAGUAGCAAGC